ACAGCCAUCAGUGUUGGAACAGCAGAUCCUUCAGCUGUGCUGUAACAUGGUUCCGUGCUUGCAGAUGAAAGACCUGAUGCAGACAACAGAGAUGACGCUGUUCGUGGAGGAAGUAUAUCUAAGCCUUCUGCGCCAUCCUGCUUUCUGGAAGAGACAGCUUACCCAGCUGACCGUUCAGUUGCUGUGCAUCUGUGAAGUCAGCUUAAAGACAACUGGGGAAUGCUCAUCUUUAAUUCAGCUUUUAGAGCGCAGUGUUGAACUUCUUGGGGAGGAUUUUCCUGUCAAAUUGGUCAUUAUUGGAAUAGCUUUAAUACUUCUACAGACUCCAGCAAGUCAGCAGAAGCCAGUAUUGAACCUAA
RNAcentral lists this long non-coding RNA (359 nucleotides) under Rattus norvegicus (Norway rat). RNAcentral describes it as "long non-coding RNA NONRATT022372". The record is from RNAcentral. Lineage: Eukaryota; Metazoa; Chordata; Mammalia; Rodentia; Muridae.